GACGAACGCUGGCGGCGUGCUUAACACAUACAAGUCGAACGGAAAGGCCCUGCUUUUGUGGGGUGCUCGAGUGGCGAACGGGUGAGUAACACGUGAGUAACCUGCCCUUGACUUUGGGAUAACUUCAGGAAGCUGGGGCUAAUACCGGAUAGGAGCUCCUGCUGCAUGGUGGGGGUUGGAAAGUUUCGGCGGUUGGGGAUGGACUCGCGGCUUAUCAGCUUGUUGGUGGGGUAGUGGCUUACCAAGGCUUUGACGGGUAGCCGGCCUGAGAGGGUGACCGGCCACAUUGGGACUGAGAUACGGCCCAGACUCCUACGGGAGGCAGCAGUGGGGAAUAUUGCACAAUGGGCGGAAGCCUGAUGCAGCAACGCCGCGUGCGGGAUGACGGCCUUCGGGUUGUAAACCGCUUUCGCCUGUGACGAAGCGUGAGUGACGGUAAUGGGUAAAGAAGCACCGGCUAACUACGUG
This 468-nucleotide ribosomal RNA is filed under the name uncultured bacterium. RNAcentral describes it as "partial 16S ribosomal RNA". It matches the Rfam family "Bacterial small subunit ribosomal RNA", at positions 28 to 507 of the family's 1533-position model. The record is from RNAcentral.